RNAcentral lists this ribosomal RNA (490 nucleotides) under uncultured bacterium. Its description in RNAcentral is "partial 16S ribosomal RNA". It matches the Rfam family "Bacterial small subunit ribosomal RNA", at positions 29 to 507 of the family's 1533-position model. The record is from RNAcentral.
AGUGAACGCUGGCGGUAGGCCUAACACAUGCAAGUCGAACGGCAGCACAGGAGAGCUUGCUCUCUAGGUGGCGAGUGGCGGACGGGUGAGGAAUACAUCGGAAUCUGCCCAGUCGUGGGGGAUAACGUAGGGAAACUUACGCUAAUACCGCAUACGACCUUCGGGUGAAAGAGGGGGAUCGCAAGACCUCUCGCGAUUGGAUGAGCCGAUGUCGGAUUAGCUAGUUAGCGGGGUAAUAGCCCACCAAGGCGACGAUCCGUAGCUGGUCUGAGAGGAUGAUCAGCCACACUGGAACUGAGACACGGUCCAGACUCCUACGGGAGGCAGCAGUGGGGAAUAUUAGACAAUGGGCGCAAGCCUGAUCCAGCCAUACCGCGUGGGUGAAGAAGGCCUUCGGGUUGUAAAGCCCUUUUGUUGGGAAAGAAAUCUUUCAGGCUAAUACCCUGGGAGGAUGACGGUACCCAAAGAAUAAGCACCGGCUAACUUCGUG